CGCCUCUUGAAAUAAUAAUAUAAGAGGUAUCGCCUGCCCAGUGACAAUCGUUCAACGGCCGCGGUAUUAUGACCGUGCAAAGGUAGCGUAAUCACUUGUCUAUUAAAUAUAGACCAGUAUGAAUGGCAAAACGAGGGCUCAACUGUCUCUUUAAAUUAAUCAGUGAAAUUGAUCUUUCCGUGCAGAAGCGGAAAUAUAAUUAUAAGACGAGAAGACCCUAUGGAGCUUUAAACCUAAACUAAUUAUAUUUUAAAUAAAUAUAAUUAUAAUCUAGCACCCGGUUUUAGGUUGGGGCGACCACGGGACAAAACUAAACUCCCGAGAUGAAAAAAUUAAGAAAUACAUUUCAAAAUAAUAAUAUUAUUAACAUAAUUGAUCCUUAUUUGAUCAACGAACUAAGUUACCCUAGGGAUAACAGCGCAAUCCUUUCAGAAAGUCCUUAUCGACGAAAGGGUUUACGACCUCGAUGUUGGAUCAGGACAUCCAAAUGGUGUAGCAGCUAUUAAAGGUUCGUUUGUUCAACGAUUAAAGUCCU
This 535-nucleotide ribosomal RNA is filed under the name Desmognathus monticola. RNAcentral's name for it is "partial 16S ribosomal RNA". It matches the Rfam family "Bacterial large subunit ribosomal RNA", at positions 1819 to 2597 of the family's 2925-position model. The record is from RNAcentral. Lineage: Eukaryota; Metazoa; Chordata; Amphibia; Caudata; Plethodontidae.